GCGAAACUGCGAAUGGCUCAUUAAAUCAGUUAUCGUUUAUUUGAUAGUACCUUACUACUUGGAUAACCGUGGUAAUUCUAGAGCUAAUACAUGCUAAAAACCCCGACUCACGAAGGGGUGUAUUUAUUAGAUUAAAAACCAAUGCCCUUCGGGGCUCUUUGGUGAUUCAUAAUAACUUUUCGAAUCGCAUGGCCUUGCGCCGGCGAUGGUUCAUUCAAAUUUCUGCCCUAUCAACUUUCGAUGGCAGGGUCUUGGCCUGCCAUGGUUACAACGGGUAACGGAGGGUUAGGGCUCGACCCCGGAGAAGGAGCCUGAGAAACGGCUACUACAUCCAAGGAAGGCAGCAGGCGCGCAAAUUACCCAAUCCCGAUUCGGGGAGGUAGUGACAAUAAAUACUGAUACAGGGCUCUUUUGGGUCUUGUAAUUGGAAUGAGUACAAUUUAAAUCCCUUAACGAGGAACAAUUGGAGGGCAAGUCUGGUGCCAGCAGCCGCGGUAAUUCCAGCUCCAAUAGCGUAUAUUAAAGUUGUUGCAGUUAAAAAGCUCGUAGUUGAACCUUGGGCCUGGCUGGCCGGUCCGCCUCACCGCGUGCACUGGUUCGGCCGGGCCUUUCCCUCUGGGGAACCCCAUGGUCUUCACUGAUCGUGGCGGGGAACCAGGACUUUUACUGUGAAAAAAUUAGAGUGUUCAAAGCAGGCAUAUGCUCGAAUACAUUAGCAUGGAAUAAUAAAAUAGGACGUGUGGUUCUAUUUUGUUGGUUUCUAGGACCGCCGUAAUGAUUAAUAGGGACAGUCGGGGGCAUCAGUAUUCAAUUGUCAGAGGUGAAAUUCUUGGAUUUAUUGAAGACUAACUACUGCGAAAGCAUUUGCCAAGGAUGUUUUCAUUAAUCAGGAACGAAAGUUAGGGGAUCGAAGACGAUCAGAUACCGUCGUAGUCUUAACCAUAAACUAUGCCGACUAGGGAUCGGACGGUGUUAUUUUUUGACCCGUUCGGCACCUUACGAGAAAUCAAA
This 1011-nucleotide ribosomal RNA is filed under the name Discosia sp. 4 KT-2010. RNAcentral describes it as "SSU rRNA". It matches the Rfam family "Eukaryotic small subunit ribosomal RNA", at positions 81 to 1102 of the family's 1831-position model. Lineage: Eukaryota; Fungi; Ascomycota; Sordariomycetes; Amphisphaeriales; Sporocadaceae. The record is from RNAcentral. RNAcentral also lists the same sequence under 4 other names.